GAUGAACGCUGGCGGCGUGCCUAAUACAUGCGAGUCGAGCGAACAGACGAGGAGCUUGCUCCUCUGACGUUAGCGGCGGACGGGUGAGUAACACGUGGAUAACCUACCUAUAAGACUGGGAUAACUUCGGGAAACCGGAGCUAAUCCCGGAUAAUAUAUUGAACCGCAUGGUUCAAUAGUGAAAGACGGUUUUGCUGCCACUUAUAGAUGGAUCCGCGCCGCAUUAGCUAGUUGGUAAGGUAACGGCUUACCAAGGCAACGAUGCGUAGCCGACCUGAGAGGGUGAUCGGCCACACUGGAACUGAGACACGGUCCAGACUCCUACGGGAGGCAGCAGUAGGGAAUCUUCCGCAAUGGGCGAAAGCCUGACGGAGCAACGCCGCGUGAGUGAUGAAGGUCUUCGGAUCGUAAAACUCUGUUAUUAGGGAAGAACAAAUGUGUAAGUAACUAUGCACGUCUUGACGGUACCUAAUCAGAAAGCCACGGCUAACUACGUG
RNAcentral lists this ribosomal RNA (497 nucleotides) under uncultured bacterium. RNAcentral's name for it is "partial 16S ribosomal RNA". It matches the Rfam family "Bacterial small subunit ribosomal RNA", at positions 28 to 507 of the family's 1533-position model. The record is from RNAcentral.